GGGACGAACGCUGGCGGCGUGCUUAACACAUGCAAGUCGAGCGGUAAGGCCCUUUCGGGGGUACACGAGCGGCGAACGGGUGAGUAACACGUGAGCAAUCUGCCCUUCACUUCGGGAUAAGCCUCGGAAACGGGGUCUAAUACCGGAUAUGACCGCGCUACGCAUGUGGUGUGGUGGAAAGUUUCUGGCGGUGGAGGAUGAGCUCGCGGCCUAUCAGCUUGUUGGUGGGGUAAUGGCCUACCAAGGCUUCGACGGGUAGCCGGCCUCGAGAGGGUGACCGGCCACGACUGGGACUGAGACACGGCCCAGACUCCGUACGGGAGGCAGCAGGUGGGGAAUAGUUGGACAAUGGGACGAAAGCCUGAUCCAGCAACGCCGCGUGAGGAUGACGGUCCUUCGGGUUGUAAACCCUUCUUUCGA
Molecule: ribosomal RNA, 420 nt
Filed under: uncultured soil bacterium
Lineage: Bacteria
Description: bacterial SSU rRNA
Rfam family: Bacterial small subunit ribosomal RNA
Source: RNAcentral